Molecule: long non-coding RNA, 565 nt
Organism: Eutrema salsugineum
Lineage: Eukaryota; Viridiplantae; Streptophyta; Magnoliopsida; Brassicales; Brassicaceae
Exons: 4
Source: RefSeq, a predicted model, not a curated record
CAGCCAUGGCAAAAAUCCGCAAAAUGUCAUUUGAUUCACCAAUAGACGCUCAUUUCUUGUUUCCUCUGCAAUUUCUCCGCUUCUACGGUUUUGUUCAUCGAUCAAAUCAGCCAUGGAAGCCGAGAUAAUAAAACUGGAAAACUGCUCCUGCUGAUUUCCGGUUCCCUACAACAAACCAAACCAGGCACUGAUUUACUCGGUACAUCGAGUUCCACAGAUGUACAAAUGCAAAGGGCGAGGAGUCUAAUGACUGCGAAAGGUUUGCCAAGUAUUACCACGCCCUCUGUCCUGGAGAAUGGGUUGAGAAGUGGAACGAGCAGAGGGAGAGUGGAACUUUUCCGGGUCCUCUUUAAACCAGGCUGUUUUUCAAAUCUUGAUGAAGAUGCAAUCAAGUUCAUAAGGGCAAAUAAUGGUACAUAGUUUGGGGUCAUGUUAUGAUUGUUGACUAGCUUUGUGUGUGUUUUCCCUUUUGUUUUUUGGAGCUCUAGCCUCUAGUCAAAGUGCUUUCUUGGGAUGUAUAAACAAGACCGAUCAAAUCAUAACAUGGAAAUGAGAAGAAUCUUGA